AAAGUAAGCUAAGAUGGACCAA
Molecule: non-coding RNA, 22 nt
Filed under: Arabidopsis thaliana (thale cress)
Lineage: Eukaryota; Viridiplantae; Streptophyta; Magnoliopsida; Brassicales; Brassicaceae
Source: RNAcentral